Molecule: ribosomal RNA, 497 nt
Filed under: uncultured bacterium
Lineage: Bacteria
Description: partial 16S ribosomal RNA
Rfam family: Bacterial small subunit ribosomal RNA
Source: RNAcentral
GAUGAACGCUGGCGGCGUGCCUAAUACAUGCAAGUAGAACGCUGAAGGAAGGAGCUUGCUCUUUCCGGAUGAGUUGCGAACGGGUGAGUAACGCGUAGGUAACCUGCCUGGUAGCGGGGGAUAACUAUUGGAAACGAUAGCUAAUACCGCAUAACAGUAGAUGUUGCAUGAUAUCUACUUAAAAGGUGCAAUUGCACCACUACCAGAUGGACCUGCGUUGUAUUAGCUAGUUGGUGAGGUAACGGCUCACCAAGGCGACGAUACAUAGCCGACCUGAGAGGGUGGUCGGCCACACUGGGACUGGGACCCGGCCCAGACUCCUACGGGAGGCAGCAGUAGGGAAUCUUCGGCAAUGGACGGAAGUCUGACCGAGCAACGCCGCGUGAGUGAAGAAGGUUUUCGGAUCGUAAAGCUCUGUUGUAAGAGAAGAACGAGUGUGAGAGUGGAAAGUUCACACUGUGACGGUAUCUUACCAGAAAGGGGCGGCUAACUACGUG